GGGAGGAUGUCACCUACCUGGUGGUGGUCGAGGGAUACUCCUGUGGCCUGAAUCUCGAUUCCCAGUCUGCCCUUUGAGCCUCAGUGUCCUGGGACGGUGGUCUGGAUCAGGAGAACUGCUUUGUAAACACCAGGGAAAUAUUCACCUCAAGGGACGCUUUACCUAGGCGGGUACCUGUGUCCUAACUUGCUGGAUCCUCACAGCAGCCCUAUGAGAUGAGCACUAUUCUAGCCCUCAUUCUUCAGAGGAGGAAACUAAGGCAUGCAGAGGAUAAACAAUGUGCUGAGCGUCGCAUCGCCAGGAAGUGGAGAUCUCGAAUUUGAACCCAGGCAGGUGGAUCCGCGCCUGUGUGCUUGGCCACAGUGCACCGCAUGGCCUCUCAUAGAAGGACUCAAAUAUUUGUUGACAGAAAGAACAAACAAAGAACCUUUGGUUUUCUCCAUCUUUCUUUAGUUGGCUGGACUCAAGAUGGUUGGUGAGAAAAAGGGCCUAACCCUGGUGUGAGGGAGUGCCCUCUCCCACCCGCACGUCCCUUGGGAAUUGGAGGAUGUAUGUAUGUAUGUAUGUAUCCAGUGGUGUUGCUAUGAUAAUGCAGACGAAUCAGCAAAGAAAUGAAAUAUGCUGCUGUCUGGUUGCAGAUGGGCCCGGGGGGCCAGAGCUGGACCCCAGCCCUGAAGAGUUUCAGGGGACAAACUCCAGUUCCAAAAGACCUCUGGGGAGAGGAGACCCAGCCCUGUGGAGUGGCCGGAAAGAGCUGGAGAGGAGCUGGCAGACAUUAGGGGACAAAGCACAGACCAGUUCAGAGACGGAAGAAGGCAGAAAGAGGAGGAAUCCAUUGCCAGUUGGAUGUCUCUCUUAUAAAUGUUGACUCAGGGAUCCAGGCUUCUUCCAUCCUGUGAUGCCACCAUCUUCAAUAAGUAGCCUCCAAGGUUGCUGUAGGAGGGGAAGAGAGAUUGGAGGAGUGUGGAUUGGAGAUUAUCAUGGGUCAGGCCUAGAAGAGGCGUACAGUCACUGUCAGCCACAAUCACACGGCCCCAACCAAAGGCAAGGGGGCCGGGAGAUACCCCUGAGCUAAGGUUUCCAGGAGGAAAGGGGGAGACCCGGAUGCUGGGGAGCCCUGCCGUUCAUUAACAAGCCCCUCCCAACCCAGACUCUUGCAGGGUUUUCCCUCCUUUCUCCCUCAAUAAGCUCUCUAACGUCAUGGAUUCAAACUCCAUGCAGCAUCGCUGCCUUGUUAAUGCUAGAAUUUCACCCAAAUAAUCAAUCCUUUGGAAGCUAAAUAGUGAAAUAUUUUAGAAGGCAGCUAUACUCAUCGCUAUACCACCAAUGCUGCACAGGAGCAAAAUAUUUUUGAAAGAACAGAUUUUUGAAAGGACAGAGGGCCAGUGCAGGGUAUUUCAUAGCAGUGUUCCAUAAAGGAAAAUCGAAAUCCCAUUCCCUAUUAGCUUCUAUUUAAAUAAGAAAUAGAAUUCCCUGGG
This 1478-nucleotide long non-coding RNA is filed under the name Equus caballus (horse). Its description in RNAcentral is "lncRNA (ENSECAG00000048020.1)". The record is from RNAcentral. Lineage: Eukaryota; Metazoa; Chordata; Mammalia; Perissodactyla; Equidae.